This 239-nucleotide long non-coding RNA is filed under the name Anas platyrhynchos platyrhynchos (common mallard). RNAcentral's name for it is "lncRNA (ENSAPLG00000026638.1)". The record is from RNAcentral. Lineage: Eukaryota; Metazoa; Chordata; Aves; Anseriformes; Anatidae.
UCUUCUGCCAAGAAACAAAAGCAGGCAAAGCCACUGUCCUUGCUUUCCCUCAGAUGCAUUUUACUUCCAAGGUGAACCAGGCUUUGGUGGCACAAUGGGACCCAAGAAGCCCCAUGUUCUGCACCUCUUCACUGGAAAAGACAGAAAACAGCAUUUGAAAGCAGAGGUUCACCUUCCACUGAAUACCAGAGUUUCCACAAACCAAGAUUAAGAGGAGAAAGAAGAAGUUGGAUUUGUGU